RNAcentral lists this long non-coding RNA (428 nucleotides) under Homo sapiens (human). RNAcentral's name for it is "HSALNT0354074". The record is from RNAcentral. Lineage: Eukaryota; Metazoa; Chordata; Mammalia; Primates; Hominidae.
GUUCUCUUGGCUCUAUAGUGUCCACUUUGAGACAUGGCUUGAAUAAUCUUUGGGAAGGGGCCAGGCUGGGAGCUUGAUCUCACUUAAAUGAUUGUAUGAAAUGGCCAUUUGCAAAAGAAUAUAGUGCAAGAUGGAAGAAUGAAGUGACCACCUCUAGAUUCUAUUCUAACGGACGUGUGGCAUUUUCCCAGGCUAUUCGGGGAUAGGCAAGAAAGGGAAUCUAGAAUACCGAAGAGAGAACUCUGCAGAGCUGUGAGGACCAGAAGGAAGCCACAUUGUUUAUCCUGAAAGAAAAAGAAACAAGUGUGAAGAUUUCGAGAGCUGGAGGUGAAACAAGUAUCACUCAGCCUACAGAGAAUGCAAACCUCAUGAAUGUAUAUGUCUUGUUCAGCAGCACCUACACUUGUUUUUGACAAGUGAUACUAAAU